GCCAGGCAUGAUGACUCACAUGAAGUCCCAGCUACCAGGGAGGCUGAGGUAGGAGGAUUGCUUGAGCCCAGGAGUUCUGAGCUGCAGAGAGCUAUGCCAAUCAGUUGUCCACACUAAACUUGUCAUCAAUAUGGUGACCUCCCAGGAGUGGGGAACCAGCAUGGUGCCUAAGGAGGGGUUAACUGAUCCAGGUAAGAAAUGGAACAGGUCAAAAACUCCUGUGCUGGUCAGUGAGAUCAUGCCUGUGAACAACCAUUGCACUCCAACUUGGGAAUUUAGUGAGAUCUUGUCUUA
This 294-nucleotide signal recognition particle RNA is filed under the name Carlito syrichta (Philippine tarsier). RNAcentral describes it as "Metazoan signal recognition particle RNA (ENSTSYG00000032698.1)". It matches the Rfam family "Metazoan signal recognition particle RNA". Rfam says of the family: The signal recognition particle (SRP) is a universally conserved ribonucleoprotein. It is involved in the co-translational targeting of proteins to membranes. The record is from RNAcentral. Lineage: Eukaryota; Metazoa; Chordata; Mammalia; Primates; Tarsiidae.